Ostrea edulis (European flat oyster) is the source of this 1046-nucleotide long non-coding RNA. RefSeq lists it as uncharacterized. Lineage: Eukaryota; Metazoa; Mollusca; Bivalvia; Ostreida; Ostreidae. The record is from RefSeq and is a predicted model, not a curated record. The transcript has 4 exons.
GCCAGAAAUUUGUAGAUUUUGUUUAUAGUUUGCUGUUUCAUUUACUGUUUCCACGGGACACACUUUUAGAGCAGACACUGCAGCUGCACUGAACUGUUUUAUCUAGUGUGCGCGGAUCACAUGGGCGCGGUUUUCUUGUGGUGUUUGUAAACAGAUAGCACGUGCUGACAAUGUCGACCAAUCGGAUCAUUUGAGAUUACGGAAAUAGCCGAGUUUUUACGAUUGAAUGUCGACAACUUUGAAGGAGAAAACAAGAGGAGGAUACAGAAUCUGAUUUGCCAGAACCAAGUAUAAGGGGAAGAGGCAGAGGAAAAUGAGGAUGCGGUACAGGAGGACAUAUAUGGUAGAGGACGGUACAUCAAUAAAAGAGGGAGGCGUGACUUCCAUGGAAAACAGUUUGAAGAAACUGAAAGAGAGGUGGAGGCCUUCACUGAUCUUCAUUUGGAAUGUAGACAGAAAGCUGAUGAACUUGUAGAUCAACUGUCUGGGGAAGCAGGGUUGGCAAAAAAAUGGUCAAUAUGAAGUUUCUAACUGGUGUGUCUUACAGUAACCACUGCGUCCCCAUGAACACAGCACUGUGAAAUGAGACCUGAUCUAUGCUAAGCCUGCAGCUAGAGAUGAAUCUUGUUACCGUCCACUGUUUGUGCUUCACCUUCAGCGAAGAUUUAGGAAUGACGUUUUUGAUCGUGAUGCCCAAACCCAACAGGAUGUGAACAAAGCCUACAGACAUGUUUAUCUCACCGGAUUUUGGUCGCCUUCAUCGGGAUGCAGGGAUAGACAUUAACUUUAUAGUUACACUUGUCCGAAUGAAAACUUAGUUGUCUGAAAUAUUUUAAACUCUAAUAAGCUCAUCAACCAGGAAUUCUAAUUAUCUCCUUCAGUCAAUAGGUGAAUAACUAAGUUUUCCCUUCUUUAAAAUAAGUUUCCCUGUUUCAAGUUUGUCAUUCUUCCCCAUUGUAAGAAGUUAUGCCUGUGAAUUAUGCCAUACAAGUUGCAUUAUUGUAGUGGAAUGAAAUUGAUGUAAAUAAAUGUCAUUGAAAGUUAUA